AGUGAACGCUGGCGGUAGGCCUAACACAUGCAAGUCGAACGGCAGCACAGUAAGAUCUUGCUCUUACGGGUGGCGAGUGGCGGACGGGUGAGGAAUACAUCGGAAUCUACUUUUUCUUGGGGGAUAACGGAGGGAAACUUACGCUAAUACCGCAUACGACCUACGGGUGAAAGCAGGGGAUCUUCGGACCUUUCGCGAUUGAAUGAGCCGAUGUCGGAUUAGCUAGUUGGCGGGGUAAAGGCCCACCAAGGCAACGAUCCGUAGCUGGUCUGAGAGGAUGAUCAGCCACACUGGAACUGAGACACGGUCCAGACUCCUACGGGAGGCAGCAGUGGGGAAUCUUGGACAAUGGGCGCAAGCCUGAUCCAGCCAUACCGCGUGAGUGAAGAAGGCCUUCGGGUUGUAAAGCCCUUUUGUUGGGAAAGAAAAGCAGCAGGUUAAUACCCCGCUGUUCUGACGGUACCCAAAGAAUAAGCACCGGCUAACUUCGUG
RNAcentral lists this ribosomal RNA (492 nucleotides) under uncultured bacterium. RNAcentral's name for it is "partial 16S ribosomal RNA". It matches the Rfam family "Bacterial small subunit ribosomal RNA", at positions 29 to 507 of the family's 1533-position model. The record is from RNAcentral.